RNAcentral lists this ribosomal RNA (532 nucleotides) under Rhodococcus sp. N42. Its description in RNAcentral is "bacterial SSU rRNA". It matches the Rfam family "Bacterial small subunit ribosomal RNA", at positions 82 to 628 of the family's 1533-position model. Lineage: Bacteria; Bacillati; Actinomycetota; Actinomycetes; Mycobacteriales; Nocardiaceae. The record is from RNAcentral.
UCGGGGUACACGAGCGGCGAACGGGUGAGUAACACGUGGGUGAUCUGCCCUGCACCUGGGAUAAGCUCUGGGAAACUGGGUCUAAUACUGGAUAUGACCUGCAUCUCGCAUGGGGGUGGGUGGAAAGAUUUAUCGGUGCAGGAUGGGCCCGCGGCCUAUCAGCUUGUUGGUGGGGUAAUGGCCUACCAAGGCGACGACGGGUAGCCGACCUGAGAGGGUGACCGGCCACACUGGGACUGAGACACGGCCCAGACUCCUACGGGAGGCAGCAGUGGGGAAUAUUGCACAAUGGGCGGAAGCCUGAUGCAGCGACGCCGCGUGAGGGAUGAAGGCCUUCGGGUUGUAAACCUCUUUCAGCAGGGACGAAGCGUGAGUGACGGUACCUGCAGAAGAAGCACCGGCUAACUACGUGCCAGCAGCCGCGGUAAUACGUAGGGUGCGAGCGUUGUCCGGAAUUACUGGGCGUAAAGAGUUCGUAGGCGGUUUGUCGCGUGUUUGUGAAAACCCGGGGCUCAACUUCGGGCUUGCAGGC